Molecule: ribosomal RNA, 500 nt
Filed under: uncultured bacterium
Lineage: Bacteria
Description: partial 16S ribosomal RNA
Rfam family: Bacterial small subunit ribosomal RNA
Source: RNAcentral
GACGAACGCUGGCGGCGUGCUUAACACAUGCAAGUCGAACGGGUCUGCCCUGUUUUUUGCGGGGUGGGUCAGUGGCGAACGGGUGAGUAACACGUGAGUAACCUGCCCCUCACUUCUGGAUAACCGCUUGAAAGGGUGGCUAAUACGGGGUGUUCUGGCUGUGCCGCAUGGUGUGGCUGGGAAAGAUUCACUUUUGUGGUGUUUUGGUGGGGGAUGGGCUCGCGGCCUAUCAGCUUGUUGGUGGGGUGAUGGCCUGCCAAGGCUUUGACGGGUAGCCGGCCUGAGAGGGUGGGCGGUCACACUGGGGCGGAGAGACGGCCCAGACUCCGGGGGGAGGCAGCAGGGGGGGGUAUUGCACAAUGGGCGGAAGCCUGAUGCAGCGACGUCGCGUGAGGGAUGGAGGCCUUCGGGUUGUGAACCUCUUUCGCCGGUGAAGAAGGUCCUGCUCUUUGUGGUGGGGUUGACGGUAGCCGGGUUAUGAAGCGCCGGCUAACUACGUG